CCUACGGGAGGCAGCAGUGGGGAAUUUUCCGCAAUGGGCGAAAGCCUGACGGAGCAAUACCGCGUGAGGGAAGAAUGCCUACGGGUUGUAAACCUCUUUUAUCAGGGAGGAACAAAAUGACGUGUACCUGAUGAAUAAGCAUCGGCUAACUCUGUGCCAGCAGCCGCGGUAAGACAGAGGAUGCAAGUGUUAUCCGGAAUUACUGGGCGUAAAGCGUCUGUAGGUUGUUGAACAAGUCAACUGUUAAAUCUUGAAGCUCAACUUCAAAAUCGCAGUCGAAACUGUUUGACUAGAGUAUAGUAGAGGUAAAGGGAAUUUCCAGUGGAGCGGUGAAAUGCGUAGAUAUUGGAAAGAACACCGAUGGCGAAAGCACUUUACUGGGCUAUUACUGACACUCAGAGACGACAGCUAGGGUAGCAAAUGGGAUUAGAUACCCCAGUAGUCCUAGCCGUAAACUAUGGAUACUAGAUGUUGAACAGAUCGACCUGUGCAGUAUUAAAGCUAACGCGUUAAGUAUCCCGCCUGGGAAGUAUGCUCGCAAGAGUGAAACUCAAAUGAAUUGACGG
Molecule: ribosomal RNA, 566 nt
Filed under: uncultured bacterium
Lineage: Bacteria
Description: bacterial SSU rRNA
Rfam family: Bacterial small subunit ribosomal RNA
Source: RNAcentral